AUAUUGCAGCUUUUCCAGAAAGCAUAAACAUUUUAGAUGGAGUAUCUGAAGAUGUGAGAACACCUGAUAAACUAAUUGAUAAUAUAAAUGAUACAACUGAUGGCAGGCACAUGUGGCUCUCACCAAUUCUUCCUGGCUUGGUAAGAAUGCUACAAACAUUUGAUAUAAAUGUAAUACAGUUUGAAAUAAUGGAUUAAUUGAUAUUGAAAGCAUAAUUAAACCACUGGGAGUCCAUGUUCACUUUCUCUGUAUUUUUAUAUUUUUUUUUGUCCCUGUUAUGUUUUCUUUUUCUCUGCAGUAAUACAGUUUUAUAUGGCAUGCUCUCAAUACAAACAUGUAUUCCUGACCCUAUAGUCAUGGGCAUUCGCAGGAAUUUUUCCUCCGGGGGGGGGAAUAAUUGUAAUGACAUCCAUGCUUGGCCCCUUUUUGACAGUGUCAUGAAGGGGAGGAGCAUAGUCAUUAUCAUAUAAAGCCAGGGUGAAUAGCAUUUUCACAACUAUGGUGUCAGGAAUACAUGUUUGUAUUCCUGACACUAUAGUGUUCCUUUAAGCAAAUUAAAGGAACAUUCUGGUCACCAUAACUUAAUCUAAAUGAAAAUGCUAUGAUGCCAGGAGGCCCCUGGACGCUCUCUUUCCUGUAAGGGGUUAAACCGCUCUCAAAUGGUUUAACCCCAAAGGCUUCCUCCAGCUCCAGAUCUCCAGGUCGCUCAGUGGUAGUCGGCUUCUGAAACGGAGUGUCUACCCCCCUGUACCACCCUCUCCACGGACGCCCAUGCCUAUAGUGUUAAAACCACCAUCUAGCCCGCUUGGGACCCUCAUGCCUCCAAAAUCUUACUGUAUUCAAGCUGUAGAUUUGCAUGCUGUUUGCCUCAGAAAACCAAGAUGUUUGCUAAUAUCAUCAGGAGUGGUGGCCUGAUCCAAUCACAAUCCUUCCCCAUAGGAUUGGCUGAGACUGACAAAGAGGUAUCAGCAUCUCCUCAUAGAGUUGAAUUGAAUCAAUUAAUCUCUAUGAGGAAAGUUCAGUGUCUGCAUGCAGAGGGAGGAGACACUGAAUGUUUGGAUGCAUUUUAGGCAGGCAUGACCCAGCAAGGAUCUCUAACAUCCACCUGAGGAGUGGCCAGUGAAGUUAUCACGGCUGUAAUGCAAACACAUAUAUAUGGGAAAACAAGGGGCUGGCUGCACUCACCUGAACAUGCUUAAAUGGGGUGUUGCUGGGGGCCAAUAAGUACAGUAAAAAUUAAAAUCCAGCGCACUCCCAAGGAGUUACCCAGGGUCCGCUACAAUUGGUGAUAAGCAGCGGGAUCCUACUUCCCUGCCAACAGACCCAUGGAUUAUAAUUCCUUAAAAAGGCAAACCCUACAAGACUUGCUGGAAGCAAGAGGGAAACCGGCCGGCAACCGUAAAAAAAAAAAGCCGACCUGAUUGCCGAGCUAAUAGAAGACGACAAGUGAAGAAAUGAGGAGGCUGCCCCACAGCCGGAGGGGGGAAGAAGAAGCCUUCGCCAGAAUGAUGAGGCAGCGCUUGGCCUUCUACAAUAAGCCUCCCACGGUAGAACUCCUGACCAAGCUUUGAGACCCAAGCCUUUGUCCUACACCCGAGGAACCGUGGACCAGAGAGGGGCCGGCCACCCUUACACCCAAACCAAAGUUGCCCCCAUACUGCCUUCAGGGAGUUCAGGUACGCAGAGGAGGGCAUUGAAGAAUUCCUGCAGGACUUUGAGUGCCUCCUGCUAGAAGUCAAGCAGGCGAACUGUGUCGCCAUUCUGGGCAGCAAGAUGACAGGAAAUGCUGCAGAGGCGUACCAAGCAGUACCUGGGGGCCAGAUCCGCGACUACGUAGCUGUGAAAGAUGUCCUACUGGCGAGGUAUGCCAUAACUCUGGAGGCAUACCGGCGGAAGUUCAGAGGGACAAGAAAAUGGGAGAAGGAUUCCCAUACAGAGUGGGCAUGCCGCAUCCACGAGCUGCCCAGAACUGAACUUGCAACAAGAAAAGUCCUCCGAGGAGGUGCUCCACUUGUUCAUGGUGAAGUACAUGAAAGUCCUGUAUUUAUUUAAAUAAGUUGGAUGUUCUGCAGGGAGAUAGCAAGUCCAGGUAGGUUUGUAGAUAGGUCAGGAAGAAGUGUUGUACAUGUAAGUUUGGAGCAGGUUGGUGAGUAUUGCAGGAUAAGUAACCAAAAAGGAAAUUCCACAGGUAAACUCAGGAGCCAGGAUAUGAAGUAUUUUCAGGUUAUCAUCAAACUUCAAUGUCAAGGCCACUUGCUUUGUCAGGUGUGGCCUUUUAUAGCAGUAUUUGAUUUCAUGUUCUACAGGUGAGAGUUGGAAACAGGUACUGGAAUUUAAAGGAACGGUAUCAAAUGGAAAAUAGUCUUGCUAGUCAGGGUAGGAACCUGACACCACGUUGGAGCUGUGCUGGAUAGCAUCAGGGAGGCAGGGUUGACACUGAAACCGAGUAAGUGUCACCUCGGGAUGGCAGAGGUGCAGUACCUGGGGCACUUGGUGGGGUGUGGGGCACAGAAACCUGAACAGGUCAAGGUAGAGGCAGUAGCUAGUUGGCCCCAUCUCUGAACAAAAACCCAGGUGCUGGCCUGAAAGUUUGUCCCCAACUACAACGUUAUAGCUAAAUCUCUCACUGACCUGACCGCAAAAACCUACCUACCCCGACAGGUAGCCUGGACCCCAGAGUGUGAGCAGGUGUUCCAAGCCCUCAAAAAUGCCCUGGUAAAUGCCCCUGUAUUGGCCGCUCCUAAUCCCAGGAAACGUUUUCUCGUCCACACAGAUGCCUCCAUGUUCGGAUUGGGAGCCGUACUAAGCCAGGUGAGGGAUGAUGGUGGAGAACACCCCAUUGCUUACCUCAACAGGAAGCUAUUACCCAGGGAGGUGAGCUACGCUGCCAUCGAAAAGGAGUGCCUGGCGGUGGUGUGGGCCCUCAAAAAGCUACAGUCCUAUUUGUACGGACAACCCAGUACGCAAAAUGGCAAUGCCGACGGGCUGUCCAGGCAGACCAGUGAUCCGUGGGUGCUUCCCUCGGACAUCCGCAGGCCGAUCCUUUAGGACCUUCCUGCGGAUGCUGACCAGUGGUUAAGGGGGAGCUGUGUAGCGGAACCCCCACUAAUCUGUGAACUUCCCCGGUUACCCUGCAAUGUGUGUUACUGUUCUGACCUCCCUUUCAUGUGUUUUCCCUAUCUUGACCCUGUGUUUCAUUUGUUGUGUUUGUAGUACUACCUGCUCCCCGUUCAGGAGAUCCGCCACAAAUGGGACUUAAUUCGCCUCCCGAACAGGGACCACCACAAAAUCCCAUUUAGAAUUUAGUUUUAGAACGUUUGCACCUUAUAAUGAGGUGUCAAAAUCACAAAGCGCAAGGGGAUCCUCGGCACGUGCCUCCCCUGCCAUCCAGGAGGAGCAUUCGCGGAUUGUUUCCCACAUCGUUCAGUUCCCGAACGAGGACCUCCAUGGCACCCACUGGAAUGUUCACACCAAUCAAUUAGAACGCUGGCAACUCGCAAGGUAUGAAACUGCAAGGGAAGGCCAGGGGGAGCAUUUAUGUCCCGAAAGGAGAUGCUUCCCUUACCCAAUUCUACACAGGGACCCCACGUACGUUGGCUGUUCAUGCCGGUUAUCGUGCUGGGGGUCCCUAAGAUUGGGGGAGACAUCCUUUUGGACAAUGGCGGAGGUUAGUGGGCUCUCCAGAUAAAGAGACUUCUAGGAAGAAGAUCCUGGGUGGGGACACAGUGGCGGAAACAGGGGCCGUUUGUCAGGGGACCCCUGGGAGGGGACACUGAGUGGCGGGGACAAAGGGUUCUGGUUCCGUUAUACAGCCCUCGGUGGGGGAGGACCCUGGGAGGGGACACUUUUUUUCAGGUGUGUUUUACAAAAUUACACUGCCUACCAGUGAUGCCAUUUACAAUUAUUGAUAUAUAUUUUCUGUCAUAUACUGCAUAACUUUUUUCCACAUUUUAAUAUCAUAUAGAUCCCUAUCGGUCUGCCAAAACAUGAUAUUAAAUUCAUCGAGGCAUGGACUACACAAGACCUCUGAAUGUGUCCUGUGUAUCUGGCAACAAGACUUGACUUCACCUUUGCUUGUAGAUACUUUUUAAAGAUUCUUGACCUGAUGGGCUAACCCUCAGCACCCUUUGCUCACUUCCACAUGUGUCAUCUGCAGUGGUCUGUUCUCCACUAGUUAACAUGGGAAACAUAGAAUGUGACGGCAGAUGAGAACCAUUCGUCCCAUCUAGUUAGCCCAAUUUUCUAAAUACUUCCAUUAGUCACUGGCCUUAUCUUAUAGCUAGUAAGAUGGAAACUCCAAGGAUCUCUUUCAGCUGGGACUUGAGCUUCUCUCCUUUCGUAUAUUGACCACCCCUUAUUGACUCAUAAGUGUUCCUUCAGGGUGCUAAUGUCAACCAUAUGUGAGAGGAGUGUCAAGGAGGGUGCUGUGUGGUCAGAGGUUCACAAGCGCUACAUAGACAUUUGGGAAAUUAACUUUCUCAACCACCAGACCUUUCAUCCAGAGAUGUGGAGUCUGUCUGCUUUUUUUCCUCCCAGAUUGUUGUCUUCCUGAGAUACACAUGAUGGCUGCUCAGUCAAAUUCCCAAUUUCCAUGUCUUUUUCCAUGGGCAAGGAUCUGAGGGCAAGCCUGGUGGAUACCCCAAUGAUUCUGUAGAUUCUGCUUGAUCUGUCUCUUGCCCUUGUUGCUUCUGGUGGUGGCCAGGAUUUAUCAAGAAUUGGCCCCAGAUUAUAAUAGCUGUGUAACGAUGCUGCAAUUGGUAUUCAACUCUGGUAGAGAUGGUCACAGUCCAUCUGUAGACAUUUCCACUCCUUCUGCAGUGUCCUUUCUGUCAUCAAGAUCUUCUGUGUGUGACAGCCAGAAGAUUGAACAUGUCAUGGCUUCACUCAUCUCCCUCCAGCCCUGACUUACCUGACUCUGCCAUACUGCUCCACCAUGACCCACUAGGGUUAAAACCUUAGCAUUGGUCAGGGUCAGGGCUCCACCUUCUGGUGUCAAGGAGCAUGCAAUCCAAAUGUGGCAGAUUUUAUGCAGAGUAAUGGAGGCUGUAGGGUGGUGUCAGGGAUGCAGGGAUGAUGUGUACAAGGGGUGUCUCCCUUUUCCUCUAUAUAAAGCCCAUGCACACAUACUCCUUUGCUCAGGUGUACGGUGCCCCUUCUUCGUGAUCAGUAUUUAGUGCAAAUGCUCACUGGUUAUUGUCUUUGAACCUUUGUUGCCUGGACUGACUUUUGCUGUAUCUUGACCAUAUCUUAGUCUUAUCCUUGUUUGUACCUCUCUUUGGCUUACUCUAUACCUACCUUUUACUGCAUCCUGAGUUCCUUCAACAACCCUGACAGGUUAUACAAUCUUGUACAAUCUUGUACUCUUCUUCGCAUAGAGUUGAUCAGAUUGUUGAUUGUGGCCUGUGGAAUGUUGGUCCACUCGUCUUCAAUGGCUUUGCAAAGUUGCUGGAUAUUGGCAGGACUUUGAACACGCUGUCAUAUACGCCAAUCCAGAGCAUCCCAAACAUGCUCAGUUGGUGACAUGUCCGGUGAGUAUGCUGGCCAUGCAAGAACUGUAUGGUUUCAGUUUCCAGGAAUUGUGUACAGAUCUUUGCAACAUGGGGCCGUGCAUUAUAAUGCUGCAACAUGAGGUGAUGGUGGUGGAUGAAUGGCACAACAAUGGGCCUCAGGAUCUCGCCACAGUAUCUCAUGCAGACGGAUUCUUACAGUUCGUGCAGAAAUUCUUUGGUUAUGCAAACCGAUUGUUGUAGCAGCUGUCCAGAUGGCUGAUCUCAGACAAUCUUGGAGGUGAAGAUGCUGAAUGUUGAGGUCCUGGGCUGGUGUGGUUACACGUGGUUGUGAGACCGGUUGGAUGUACUGCCAAAUUCUCUGAAACGCCUUUGGAGACGGCUUAAAUGGACAUUCAGUUCAUGGGCUCUGGUGGGCAUUUCUGCAGUCCGCAUGCCAAUUGCACGCACCCUUGCGACAUCUAUGGCAUUGUGCUGUAUGAUAAAUCUGCACAUUUUAGAGUGGCCUUUUUAACCCUUUAAGACCACGGGGCGUUCUAUGCCGCCCUUAAGGAACCGGCUCUAAAUGCUGCAGGGCGGCAUAGAACGUCCAUGCCAUCCUAUGUACUUACCCGGUCGCCGGUGAUCGCGGUAUGGGGACUUACCUGGGAGCCCAAGGAGUCCCCCUCCUUCCUCUUCGGCCCAUCUGGGCCAUGUGAUUGCCAGCAAGGGGAGUGCCUGUAAUGACAGGUACUCCCCCUGCUGUCUGAAAAAAACAAAAACAACCUGUUAAAAAUUAAACAAAAACAACAGUUUAAAAUUAAAUAAUAUAUACUUAGAUCAUAUAUAGAUUUAUUAUAUAUAUGAUCUAAGUGUAUAUAUAGAUAUAUAUAUAUAUAUAUAUAUAUAUAUACAUACAUACAUACACUGUCUAAGUGUAUUUUAAUAUUAAUAUAUAUAUAUUCAUAUCAAAGUACACGUACAAUGAUAUUGACUAAAUAUAUAAUUAAUAUUAUAGUUAUAUAUAUAAAAUAAACAAAUCUGUAAAUACGUUAAAUAAAAUUACAAAAAUAGGAAAUAUAUAUACAUGUAUAAUUUCGUUCUAACUGUAUUUUAAAAUUAAUAUAUAGAUAUCAAAAUACAUGUAGAACAAAAUAAUAUAUAUAUAUAUAUAUCUAUUUUCAUAAGCAUUUAUCUAUGUAUAUAUAUGUUGUAGAUAAUUUACUGCAAACCAAUUAGUUUGAAUGACUAUCUGUUCCUGUCCAAAUUAAUGAUAAUAAAGUUGCGUGCACGCAGAAGUAAAUUCACACUGAGACACAAAGUUCAGGUUAAUGAAAGAACUUCGGAGAAGUUUAAUGGCUUCUGAUUAAAAAGCAGGCUCGCAGGCCCUUUUAAAGGCAUUAUUACAUCAUUGAAGAAAAUCAAGAUAUAGACAAAUAGACAUUAAUUGGCUUAGGUGCUAAGAUGUUAGUAAAAUGCCCUCCCUAUGGGGUGUACCAUCUUAAGUCACUAUCCUCGUCAUGAUCAUCUCCUCCAGGUUUUAGCGCCAUUUUGCUAACAUGAGGAGCUCACUCGACGGGAGGGGCCUUUUGGCAGCUAUCCAUUUAGAGUGUAGCUGGCACGGUUAGUUUCUCAAGGUUAGGUUUCAGGGCUUUUAGUAAAUACACAUUUUAUCAAAGCUAUUUCUUGCUGCCAUGCAAAUUCUAUGUUCUAUAGACAAAGCUUUCUUGUAAAACUAUGGGGGCCUCUUAGAGGUAUAGCAAGAGGAUUUAAAGGGGCCUUACAGAUUUAUAGAGGCCUAAUAAUUCUACAACAUAUAUAUAUAUAUAUAUAUAUAUAUAUAUAUACGUGUGUAUAUAUAAAAUAAUUCUACGUAUAUAUUUAUGUAAUAAUUUUACAUAAUUAGGUCAUUUUAUUAAUUACAAUUUGCAGGACCUGCCACUUAGUCACAAACACUGGCCAGAAUUGGCGUUCAAAUUAGUUUUUUGCAUUUUCAAAUAUUAACACUAACUUUGACCGGUGUUUGUGACCAAGUGGCUACUAAAAAAGACUGGACAUACCCCAUUUGCAGUACCUUGAGUUGUCUUCUUUUGCAAAUGGUAUGCCAUCAUGGGGGUAAUUCUCAUUCCUGGGCUACCAUACGGUCUCAAAGGCAACGUAACCAAUUUCAAUGUGAAAAAACUGAAAAAUUUAACACGCUAUAUUUGACUCUGUAACUUAUAAAACCAGUACAUAGGGGGUACUGUUUUACACGUGAGACAUCGCUGAAUACAAAUAUUUUUUUAAAUGUAUUUUUUUUUUAUUUUUCAACAUACAAGGUACAUGCAUACAUCUAAAAUCUUUGUAGUGCUCCCAGGUACUCCCUUUUUGGCAUGUGUACCAUUAUAUCUUGUAUAGUUUGAUUCAUAGUCACUUAACCAGGAGGAUGAAUAGCACAAUAUGAAAAAAUGUAUAUACCCAGAAGUAUUGAUGAGAAUAAAGAGACUUCUUUUUUUUGAGUCUGUAUAUUAAGUGUUUCACUAUUCAACACAGCCCCUACAGAGGUUUUUUGCUUCUAAAUGUGUAUCUCCACUUCCAGCAGCAUUGUCACCGUUAAGUAAGGGAACCCCAAAACUCUCAGACCCUAAUCCACUAAAAGAGGUGCACCAAAUAUUAUAUAUAACGUAAAAGUGGUCAAAGAGAAAGCUGAGGUCAAGGAGAAAACAUGAUUAUUGUAAAAUAAGCCAAAAGGUCAGGAACACAGAGAGCAGAGAAAUGGUUAAGCAAGCCAAGGUCAGUAACCGUGACUGCAAUACAAUAAUACAGUAGAAACGCACUCUUGGGUCAAGGAGAACCACAACAGGGCAACUUGCUCCACCAAGCUCUGACUUUAAAUAGCCAGUGCAAUAACACAAUUGGCUGGCUUCAUUUUAGAACGCCUAAAGACCCAAAUCGGCGAAUUCAGGACUUUUCUGUGUUUGUUCGUGCUGAUGGUAUCGGCUCUCUGAGUUGCACUGUUCUGACAUUGGCGUCAGACUACAAACAGCGUGCUGCAUCUGUCCCGCCGUCGGAUCGGAGAGGAGGAGGUAAGCAGGUAAGCAAAACAAUCAUUAGAUGUCAUCAACCAGUCCAGUACAAAUCUUGUGGGUUGGCUAAUGAAAAUUCUGUGCAUAUUGGACAUCUGUCACCAGCACACAGCAUGCUGGUGCCAGGCAAAUAAUAAUAUGAUGUCUCAUCGUUAAUGCUGGCUAAGUCCUUUCUUCCACCUGUCCUCCUUGACAUCACCAGUGAUGCAUAGUGACUUCACUAGAGGAAGAUUGGACUUCCAGGACAACUUGGCCUUCAAUUUGGAUCAGAGAUAAGGUAUGGUUUUGUUCUUAUAGUAGAGGGAAGUAGUUCAAUAAGGGUUAUUGACCAAAAAAAGUGUUUUCUGCUUUUUAGUUAAUGCAACUCCUUAAGUUAACUUGGAUUUGACAUCAUAUUUCCAGUAUUGGUAUGAACUGACUUAUAGCAGCACUGUUAAAUCCCUCCUAUUCCCAAAAAUAUAAGUAUUUUACAAAGAUAGAAUCUGUAUGAAAUACUCAUUUUGACUGUGUUGGGAUUUCAUUCAAAUUCCAACCUAGUAAAGCGAUAUACUGAGACAAAGUAGAGGCUACUUUGUCUCUGUAUAUGUCUUACGCUUGUACACUGGGUGGAGCUACCUUUUGUCUAAAAGCAUCAAUCCCCCCCAGCCGUCACCUAUCCUCCUAUGGAGGAUCCUGCAGUCAGGAGCUGAAAAGAAUCUGCUGGAAAAAGAUGGCCUUGCCCUGCAACGGACUGGUUCGGGUAAGUAGAACUACCAGACGGUGACAGUGCCGCUUUAAAAAAUAUUUUUUUCAACAGCUUUUGUUUCAAAAGUGAAUAUAGCUCUUUUUGUUUUGGUUGUAUUUUUCCCCUUUCCUCUCUUACCUUGUUACUUCCCUUUAAAAUGCUAAUGACAUGUUUACAAAAAUAUGUGUGAAUAGCAUAUCAUUAGUUUGUUAACUUUUGAAAUAGUUGAAUCACCAUUGUCCUAAUCUAAUAAUUUAUACAUUUUUGAACAGGUUAAUCGCGUUUACAUUGUGUUUGAUCAGCCAACUACAGUGUCUAUGAUAAAACUAUGGAAUUACGCUAAAACCCCUCAAAGAGGAGUAAAAGAAUUUGGUGUAAGUAUUAAAAAU
Non-coding RNA from Pelobates cultripes (western spadefoot toad), 9664 nucleotides. The record is from the annotation of a GenBank genome assembly. NCBI's taxonomy places the organism in Eukaryota, Metazoa, Chordata, Amphibia, Anura, Pelobatidae.